UGAUUUGGCAGUUUAUUCUGGGUAAUGGAGAAGGUCCAAAGAAAAAAAAUCAUUGUCUACUUGGAACAAUUUAUAAGGAAGAAAAAAUAGGAGGAAAAUAAUCAGGAAAAAGUGACAUAUAAUUCACUUCGAUAUAAUUUGGGAUUGACAGAUCUUGAACACUUCUUAAUCUGACUUGCAGGUGGUGAUCUGCUGCCAGAAUAAAUAAAUUUCAGAAAGUGCCAAAGCUGCUCAGCCGUUUGCUGUGAUAUCACUCCUACAUAAGGAACUUGUAUCACCAACUUUCUUCAAGUAUCUCCUCCAUUAUGAUGACACGUAGGUUGAAUUCAAAAGUGCAGGAAAAGAGCUCUGCCUGCAAAAGGAGCCUGCACUCCAGAGGGUUUGCUCUAAACUAUUGUGAGACCUCCGGCUACAACACAGGACAUGGGAGCUUUUCUGAACCCUCGUGUCUUGUGUUGCAGCCAGAGGGGCACAUCUUUUCAACCGAGUCUGAGACAAGUAGAAGAAACCGUCAUGAAAGAGGUGUAAAGAAGGAGUGAGAAGUGGGUGCGGGACUUCUCUGAACAUCUGAGAGAAGCAGACUCAGGAAUGUGAUCCAUGGCGUUAGCUGGUGGAGCUCCCAAAUCCAGAGGAGAUGUCAGAUUUCUGCCAGCUCUUGCAUGCAGAUUGAGAGAUCUAAAUCAGGUAGUAAAAGUUACUGUGCUUACAAUGCCACUGGCAUUGGUCUUUCUUUUCCUUUCUGCAAAUUUGACUAGAGUCAUUGAAUUAAACUCUAGAUGCUUUGCAAGUAUUUAAUGAUCUGUCCGUUUGAGACUCAGCACUUUUGUUCCUGUUUUUCAGCAGUUGUGAGCAUGAACUUUCAGGAGGAAUAGAAUUAAGCAGCCUCAAGUACUUUGAGCAGAGGACAUGCCUAUGAUUAACACUGACAUUUUUUGUUUCUCACUGGGACAAAUUUUUCCUUCUUCGGGAUCUGACUUCAGGGUAAGCCUCAGCUUGAGGAGAUGCUGCAGCACAAACCCCUUGGUUUCGCUUAACUUUGCCUUUUGCUCAAUACAGUGCAUGCCAGUCUGUUCCAUCUAAUCAAUUAUUAAAGUAUACACAACUGAAAUCUUCCUUUUUCCUUCAUUAGACUGGAUAAACCAGUACAUAAGCUUAAAUAUCUGCAUUAAAAAAAAUGUGUAUGCUGCUGAAAUGCCUAUAAGGUGACUUUGGGUUGUUAAAAUGGGUGAUUAAAAAUGCCCUAGUUCUAAUCCUCCAAUUUUCUACAUCUUGUAGAAACUGAAAAUGUAUGUCUCACCAUGUGGCAACAACCAUGGUUGAGUUUUUGGGAUGAGGUCUGAAAAGUUUAGAUUAUGUUUCCAAACUGUCUAUGAACUUUCAGGUGCUGCCCCAUUCUGUAUUCGUGCAUUUCAUUGGCAAUACACACAAAACAAGUCUCUUCUCAAAGAAUUAAAACCAGCAGAAGCUGAUCCUUGGAUCUCAUCACAAGAGUGAAUGUUUUUGAAGACUCUCCUACCUGAUAAAGAUUGUGUUUUGGUAGUCAGAUAUAGAUUGCUAUUUCCCAUGAGCAAAAUAAAAUUAAAAAAAAAAGUUAUAUGAAAGGUAAA
Molecule: long non-coding RNA, 1607 nt
Organism: Numida meleagris (helmeted guineafowl)
Lineage: Eukaryota; Metazoa; Chordata; Aves; Galliformes; Numididae
Source: Ensembl